GGUCCAGACUUUGAUCCUGGCUCAGGAUGAACGCUAGCUACGGGCUUAACACAUGCAAGUCGAGGGGAAACGACAUCGAAAGCUUGCUUUUGAUGGGCGUCGACCGGCGCACGGGUGAGUAACGCGUAUCCAACCUGCCCAUCACUUGGGAAUAACCUUGCGAAAGUAAGACUAAUACCCAAUGAUAUCCCACGAAGACAUCUGAAUGGGAUUAAAGAUUUAUCGGUGAUGGAUGGGGAUGCGUCUGAUUAGCUUGUUGGCGGGGUAACGGCCCACCAAGGCAACGAUCAGUAGGGGUUCUGAGAGGAAGGUCCCCCACAUUGGAACUGAGACACGGUCCAAACUCCUACGGGAGGCAGCAGUGAGGAAUAUUGGUCAAUGGGCGAGAGCCUGAACCAGCCAAGUAGCGUGCAGGAUGACGGCCCUAUGGGUUGUAAACUGCUUUUAUAAGGGAAUAAAGUGGGUCACGUGUGACUUUUUGCAUGUACCUUAUGAAUAAGGACCGGCUAAUUCCGUGCCAGCAGCCGCGGUAAUACGGAAGGUCCGGGCGUUAUCCGGAUUUAUUGGGUUUAAAGGGAGCGUAGGCCGGAGAUUAAGCGUGUUGUGAAAUGUAGAGGCUCAACCUCUGCACUGCAGCGCGAACUGGUCUUCUUGAGUACGCACAACGUGGGCGGAAUUCGUGGUGUAGCGGUGAAAUGCUUAGAUAUCACGAAGAACUCCGAUUGCGAAGGCAGCUCACGGGAGCGCAACUGACGCUGAAGCUCGAAAGUGCGGGUAUCGAACAGGAUUAGAUACCCUGGUAGUCCGCACGGUAAACGAUGGAUGCCCGCUGUUGGCCUGAAUAGGUCAGCGGCCAAGCGAAAGCAUUAAGCAUCCCACCUGGGGAGUACGCCGGCAACGGUGCAACUCAAAGGAAUUGACGGAAGGGG
Molecule: ribosomal RNA, 929 nt
Filed under: uncultured Bacteroidota bacterium
Lineage: Bacteria; Pseudomonadati; Bacteroidota
Description: bacterial SSU rRNA
Rfam family: Bacterial small subunit ribosomal RNA
Source: RNAcentral